GUCUACGGCUAUGCCAACCUGAACACACCCAAUCUCGUCUGAUGUUGGAAGCUAAGCAGGGUCAGGCCUGGUUAGUACUUGGAUGGGAGACCACCUAGGAAUACCAGGUGCUGUAGGCU
This 119-nucleotide ribosomal RNA is filed under the name Pteropus alecto (black flying fox). Lineage: Eukaryota; Metazoa; Chordata; Mammalia; Chiroptera; Pteropodidae. The record is from RNAcentral.